CUUCUUCACAAUAUUGUCAGAUUCCAAGUACAAAUCAUUGCUUUGGCUCCACUUUCUAGCGCACAUAAGAAAUGUUUUGAGAAAUUUCAUGUGUUUGAUUGAACCACGAACAUCGUAAGGAACAUACCGGUCUCGGAAUCUGUUCAGAAGCAACUGUAGAUCAAGGAAGACACGAUCGCUGCUGCAAGUGGAGGCCAUCUCCAUCUCUUAUGCAGGGAUUU
This 221-nucleotide long non-coding RNA is filed under the name Coffea arabica (coffee). RNAcentral describes it as "long non-coding RNA (CARA_LNC002497)". The record is from RNAcentral. Lineage: Eukaryota; Viridiplantae; Streptophyta; Magnoliopsida; Gentianales; Rubiaceae.